GAUUAGCGCUGGCGGCGUGCAUAACACAUGCAAGUCGAACGAUGAAACUUUUUUGAUUUCUUCGGAAUGAAAAAAAGUGGAUUAGUGGCGGACGGGUGAGUAACGCGUGAGUAACCUGCCUUAGAGAAGGGGAUAGCCUUUGGAAACGAAGAAUAAUACCCUAUGAAACCAUAACCUCGCAUGAGGCCUUGGUCAAAGAUUUAUCGCUCUAAGAUGGACUUGCGUCUGAUUAGUUAGUUGGUGGGGUAACGGCCCACCAAGACAGCGAUCAGUAGCCGGCUUGAGAGAGUGUACGGCCACAUUGGGACUGAGACACGGCCCAGACUCCUACGGGAGGCAGCAGUGGGGAAUUUUGCACAAUGGGGGGAACCCUGAUGCAGCGACGCCGCGUGAUUUAGAAGGCCUUCGGGUUGUAAAAAUCUUUUCUAUGGGAAGAAAAUGACAGUACCAUAGGAAUAAGGACCGGCUAAUUACGUGCCAGCAGCCGCGGUAAUACGUAAGGUCCGAGCGUUGUCCGGAAUCAUUGGGCGUAAAGGGUACGUAGGCGGGUAAGCAAGUUAGAAGUGAAAUCCUAUAGCUCAACUAUAGUAAGCUUUUAAAACUGCUCAUCUUGAGGUAUGGAAGGGAAAGUGGAAUUCCUAGUGUAGCGGUGAAAUGCGCAGAUAUUAGGAGGAAUACCGGUGGCGAAGGCGACUUUCUGGCCAUAACCUGACGCUGAGGUACGAAAGCGUGGGUAGCAAACAGG
Molecule: ribosomal RNA, 745 nt
Filed under: uncultured Anaerococcus sp.
Lineage: Bacteria; Bacillati; Bacillota; Tissierellia; Tissierellales; Peptoniphilaceae
Description: bacterial SSU rRNA
Rfam family: Bacterial small subunit ribosomal RNA
Source: RNAcentral